GACGAGCGCUGGCGGCGUGCUUAACACAUGCAAGUCGAACGGUGAAGCCCUUCGGGGUGGCUCAGUGGCGAACGGGUGAGUAACACGUGAGCAACCUGCUCCUGGCUCUGGGACAACCACUGGAAACGGUGGCUAAUACCGGAUACGACCCGCCUCGAUAUCGAGUGUGGGUGGAAAGUUUUUCGGCUGGGGAUGGGCUCGCGGCCUAUCAGCUUGUUGGUGAGGUGAAGGUUCACCAAGGCGACGAUGGGUAGCCGGCCUGUGAGGGCGACCGGCCACACUGGGACUGAGACACGGCCCAGACUCCUACGUGAGGCAGCAGUGGAGAAUAUUGCACAAUGGGCGAAAGCCUGAUGCAGCGACGCCGCGUGAGGGAUGACGGCCUUCGGGUUAUAAACCUCUUUCAGCUCCGAAGAAGCGAAAGUGACGGUAGGAGCAGAAGAAGCACCGGCUAACUACGUG
This 462-nucleotide ribosomal RNA is filed under the name uncultured bacterium. RNAcentral's name for it is "partial 16S ribosomal RNA". It matches the Rfam family "Bacterial small subunit ribosomal RNA", at positions 28 to 507 of the family's 1533-position model. The record is from RNAcentral.